UGAGCCCAGCCUUACAAGCUUCUGUAAUCCAUAAGCAAGGCAGCUGUGUGCUCUCAUUGACCGAGAAAAAAAUACAGAAAGAAUAUAUAGCUCUUGGGUUAGUUCAGCAACACUCCACCCUCAUUUUCUUUGUGUUCCAGCCCUCAGGCCCUGGGUAUGCUCUCACAUAGUUCCUGGAGGGAACUACUGAGGGACAUGGAACCCAAUGACCACAUCAGUUGCCAUUUGCAUGUAGAAGGAACCAUCCCAAUGUAACAUGGCAGAAGACAUAAGAGGGUGGCAAGAGGGGAGCCUGAGGACAAGGCAACAUGACUAAGUGUGAACACAGCACGAAGCCGGGCUCCUCUGAGCAGCUGGUAAGAGGGCUCUCACCUCAUCUCUGGGAAGAGACGGAGGCCAGCCUGACAAAGAGAACGAGAAAACUGCCAGGGGAAGGUGAGAUACCUUUUAUAUUCAUCCAGAAUUGCUGACCAUAUCAAAAUUCAAAAGAACUUCCAGAGGUAUGUAUUUAAGACCA
Molecule: long non-coding RNA, 517 nt
Organism: Lynx canadensis (Canada lynx)
Lineage: Eukaryota; Metazoa; Chordata; Mammalia; Carnivora; Felidae
Exons: 3
Source: RefSeq, a predicted model, not a curated record